AUGUGCAAUGAAUAUGGCGCCUCUGCCACCGCAGCAGAGUUUGGUGGAGAAUCGCCAGCGGGUCUCCAGCGACACCACGCAUUUUGCGGUCUGAUUUCACUGAGGAAGAGGACUCAACUUCAAUGAGAUUUCUAUCUAAUAUUUGAGAACAUGUACAAAGUAUGUUCCAAUCAACAGCCACAAAUUAUAGAAUUGAUAAUAAAACAGACAAAACAUUCUUUCUUUCAAGAAUCCUCUUUCGAGACUUCUCACGACCUAUUACGUGCUUCGCCGCUGAGGAGAUGGUGAUGGCGUGGUCCUCGAGACCAUCUGGAAAGAUCCAGGACUAGAUGGAACAGCCUUUUAAAUGAACUCUUCGUAAAUCUGAUAGAAUGUAAGCAUAUAACUAUGCUUCUUGGUCAACUUUUACAGUUAAUAACGAAUUUGGUAGUUGUGGGCUCAUAACACAAAGGGGGUUGGAGAUAGAGACACCAUCCAAUAUCGACAGCCACGAAUUGGGAUCGAAUCCCGCAUUGGGCCCUUUUUUUCUGAAAAAAAAAAAUGCUUCAAUGGCCACCGAUUCUUGUAAAAGCCCAGCCCCAUCAGUGAGAACAAGUAAACAAACGGGACUCAGGCACGCUUGUAAGUGCAAAAAUAGAACUACUUUUCACAUAUGUACGUGAUGCACUUGUAAUAAAAGUAUUCGCUAACUAUCCACCAGGAUUAUCAUGGCCUGUAUGUAACUAUGCAAUUUUUUUUUUGUUUGAAAAGAAAAAUUAGGGUAAAUAGUGAGAAAGAUUCGUUACGGCUUUCUUUAGAACUGAGACGAAGCACAGGUCUAGAAGAUCUCGCUGCUUGAACUGUCUAUUUCCUAUUUAUUGGACGCGAAACUUUCCACCUCGUAGAACGUGAUAGACAAUCGUUCCCAAAGUUGACCGAAAUUGAAAAUUUCGAUAAUAAUUUCUCUAAUUCCGCUAGUACCUUCUCUUCAUAGCUUUUUCAAAUACCGAAUUUUAUUUUAGUUAAAUUGAUAUAUCACUAACAAUAUAUUCAUAUGAACUUAUAUGUACUUUCAUGCACUCUUAUCAGCAGCUUUAUUUGUUGGCCUCUUUUAUCAGACCCCUGUUGACGCUGUGAAAGUUUUCUGUAAUCAAUUGUGAAUGAUGGGUGGAUGAGUUGUUCAGAAAUUAUAGUCUGAAAAAGAUGCGCAGCAUGCGUUAUUAGUAUAGAGCCAAUUUUUAAUAGUGUAUUUAUUUUGAUUUGCUUUAUACAGUUUUGAUAAUGGGAUUUAAUACCUUUAUAAUAGGUAUACGAGGAUACGGGGUGUUCAAAAAGUAUCGCGACUUUUGAAUUUUCGCGGGUUACGCAUAUUCGAAUUUCGAUCUUUUUGUGGCUUUAUGUUGGUACUCAUCUCUCUCACUUAUGCCGACAAGCUCGGCCAUUUUGAAUGUUCACUUAAUUGUUGACAGCUGCUUUGCUUGCAGGUGUUUUGGAUCGUCUUCGAUUUUUACCUAUUAAAAAAAAAAUGGAUCAAAGAACCUGUAUCAAAUUUUGUGUGAAAAACGAAAUUAAGUGCGCGGAUGCAUUCCGAAUGUUGACUGUGGCAUACGGAGAAGCUACCUUGGACCGAAGCAACGUUUAUCGGUGGUACAAAAUGUUCUCAGAAGGCCGAGAAGAUGUGAACGACGAAGAGCGUGCCGGACGCCCGAGCACUUCAACAACAGACGAAAAAAUUAAUGAAAUGGAGAAAAUGAUAUUGGCCAAUCGUCGAAUCACCGUUAGAGAAGUUGCUGAUGACCUAAACAUAUCGAUUGGCUCGUGCCAUUCGAUUUUUAUCAAUGAUUUGGGCAUGAGAUGGGUCGCCGCGAAAUUCGUACAAAAAUUGCUCAAUUGCGACCAAAAACAGCAUCGCAUGAACAUUGCUAAUGAGAUGUUGGACUCUGUCCGCGACGACCCAAAUUUGCUCCAGAGGGUCAUAACUGGUGACGAAGCGUGGGUUUAUGGUUAUGACGAGGAAACUCAAUCAUCUCAAUGGAAGCUGCCGCACGAACCAAGACCGAAAAAAGCGCGCCAAGUUCGGUCGAAUGUGAAAAUUUUGCUGACAGUUUUCUUCGAUUGCAGGGGCGUGGUGCAUCAUGAGUUCUUGCCACAGGGUAGAACGGUCAAUAAGGAAUAUUACCUGCAAGUUAUGCGCAAUUUGCGCGAAGCAAUCCGCCAGAAACGCCCGGAUUUGUGAAAGAACAAAAAUUGGCUUUUGCACCACGAUAACGCCCCUGCUCACACAUCGUUGCUUGUGCGCGACUUUUUGGCCAAAACCAACACACUAAUGAUGCCGCAGCCACCGUAUUACCCAGAUCUGGCCCCCUGUGACUUUUUCUUAUUCCCUAAACUGAAGAGGCCCAUGAAAGAACGACGUUACGCUACGCUUGACGAGAUAAAGACGGCAUCGAAGGAGGAGCUGAAAAAGAUUUUUUUAAAAUGAUGUUUUUGAAGUGCUUCGAAGAUUGGAAAAACCGUUGGCACAAGUGUAUAAUAUCUCAUGGGGAUUACUUUGAAGGGGACAAAAUAGGUAUUCAUGAAUAAAUAAAUAAUUUUUGAAAAAACACAAAAGUCGCGAUACUUUUUGAACACACCUUCGUACGUUGCCCAAAAACUCUAACCCGUACUAUUCCUUGUUGUGGAAGCAGAAAUUCUCAGUGGAGCGACGUUUCUUGCUUUCUCUACUGGAUAACUUUCGUUUGUUCUUAAUCACUAAGAGAAUCAGAGAUCCACGUGUCUCCAAAUAUAACAUAAGCAUGAUAAUCCAAGUAUUAUGACCACUGACUAUUCCUCUAGAAGCAUCUGUAGUUCCAGUUGUCAGGUUUCCGUUUGAUCAUCUUCCUUCACUAAUGUGAAUAGACUUAUGCAAAAAGGAAACAAUUUUUUCACAAGAUUUUGUUAGAUUGUGGGGUCAUAAACAUGGAUUGUGGUUGUCACAUUGGAUGAUUCAGGCCAGCAACAAAUUGCACAUUUUUAUCUAGCUCUCCACUAAUCCUUGGUCUAUCUAUCCUUGGAACUGAGAUUCAAGUGACGUAGUACAGAUUCGAGGAUUCCUCCUGACUUAUAAUACAACAAAUAUAUGUAGUAAUAUAUAGUCAAUAUACAUUGUCAUCUAUAUUCUUCUCAUUGUUAUAAUGUUUUCUUAAUGUUUUCAUUUGUCACAUAUAGAUUGCGCGUUAUUGCUUUGUAAUUCAAUUUUUUGCAAGUGUUUACGAAAUUUUGGGAAAACCUUGUAUUUACUCGUAUUUUUAAAAUUAUAGCAUUUUUAUCAUUGCAGGUAGUAAGGGCAGCAGGUGACUAUUUAUUUAAAAAAACGCGAAUAAAUUGUUAAUAAUUUAUAAUACAGAUGACGCGCGCAUAUCAUGUAAUUAAUAUUUGAAUACGAAAACCUUGAAUCCUUUUAUUUGACAGAAGUCACUCAGGAUAUGUGUGGAAAGGUUUCUUAUAUUUGAUUUCUCUAUAUUAUAAGUAACACCCAUAUCCUCCUGGAUGAUAUUUUGCCGAUAUAAAAUAAAAUAAGAGAUUAAAAUUUUCGAUUUUGAUAAUCCAAGUUUUUUUAAUCAAUAUAUCGCGAUCGAAAUUAAACGUUUUUUUUUAAUUUCAUCCAAAAGAAAUCCUUGCAGAUCACUAUU
Cordylochernes scorpioides is the source of this 3650-nucleotide non-coding RNA. NCBI's taxonomy places the organism in Eukaryota, Metazoa, Arthropoda, Arachnida, Pseudoscorpiones, Chernetidae. The record is from the annotation of a GenBank genome assembly.